Molecule: ribosomal RNA, 440 nt
Filed under: uncultured bacterium
Lineage: Bacteria
Description: partial 16S ribosomal RNA
Rfam family: Bacterial small subunit ribosomal RNA
Source: RNAcentral
CCUACGGGGGGCAGCAGUGGGGGAUAUUGCACAAUGGGGGAAACCCUGAUGCAGCGACGCCGCGUGAGGGAAGACGGUCCUAUGGAUUGUAAACCACUGUCGCCAGGGACGAAGAUGACGGUACCGGGGGAGGAAGCUCCGGCAAACUACGUGCCAGAAGCCGCGGUAAUAGGUAGGGAGCGCGCGUAUCCCGGAAUUACUGGGUGUAAAGGGAGCGUAGGCGGUGAGAGAGGUUGAGGGGAAAACCCACCGGCCAACCUGGGAGUCGCACUCAAAACUGCAGCUCUUGAGUGAAGUAGAGGCAGGCGGAAUUCCUGGUGUAGCGGUGAAAUGCGUAGAUAUUAGGAGGAACACCAGUGGCGAAGGCGGCCUGCUGGGCUUUUACUGACGCUGAGGCUCGAAAGUGUGGGGAGCAAACAGGAUUAGAUACCCUAGUAGUC